AGGACGAACGCUGGCGGCGUGCUUAACACAUGCAAGUCGAGCGACAGUGUUCUUCGGAACAUAUGGAGCGGCGAACGGGUGAGUAACACGUGGGCAACCUGCCCCUAGCUCUGGGAUAACUCCGGGAAACCGGGGCUAAUACCGGAUACGACCUCUUGCGGCAUCUUGAGAGGUGGAAAGUUUUUCGGCUAGGGAUGGGCCCGCGGCCUAUCAGCUUGUUGGUGAAGGUAACGGCCCACCAAGGCGACGACGGGU
This 255-nucleotide ribosomal RNA is filed under the name uncultured soil bacterium. RNAcentral's name for it is "partial 16S ribosomal RNA". It matches the Rfam family "Bacterial small subunit ribosomal RNA", at positions 26 to 284 of the family's 1533-position model. The record is from RNAcentral.